Molecule: ribosomal RNA, 439 nt
Filed under: uncultured bacterium
Lineage: Bacteria
Description: partial 16S ribosomal RNA
Rfam family: Bacterial small subunit ribosomal RNA
Source: RNAcentral
CUACGGGUGGCUCCAGUGGGGAAUUUUGCGCAAUGGGGGAAACCCUGACGCAGCAAUACCGCGUGAGUGAAGAAGGCCUUUGGGUCGUAAAGCUCUUUUCUUGGGGAAGAUAGUGACGGUACCCAAGGAAUAAGCACCGGCUAACUCCGUGCCAGCAGCCGCGGUAAUAAGGAGGGUGCAAGCGUUGUUCGGAUUUACUGGGCGUAAAGGGCACGUAGGCGGCACAGCAAGUUAAGGGUGAAAUCCCGGGGCUCAACUCCGGAACUGCUCUUAAAACUGCUGAGCUAGAGAUAGUCAGAGGCGGGUGGAAUUCCAGGUGUAGAGGUGAAAUUCGUAGAUAUCUGGGGGAACACCGGUGGCGAAGGCGGCCCGCUGGGGCUAUUCUGACGCUAAGGUGCGAAAGCGUGGGGAGCAAACGGGAUUAGAUACCCGGGUAGUC